UUUGAUCAUGGCUCAGAACGAACGUUGGCGGCGUGGAUUAGGCAUGCAAGUCGAGCGGGAUUCUAUUUUUUCAAUUCUUCGGAAGAGAAGUUUUAGAUGAGAGCGGCGAACGGGUUAGUAAUAUAUGGGUAAUUUGCCUCUUUGUUCGGGAUAGUCAUUGGAAACGAUGAGUAAUACCGGAUGUGUUCGCCCCGCACCUGCGGGGUUAUAUAAAGGCGGGGAAUCUUCGGAUCCUGUCGCAAAGAGAUAAGCCCAUAUCCUAUCAGCUAGUUGGUGAGGUAACGGCUCACCAAGGCUUACGGGUAGCUGGUCUGAGAGGAUGAUCAGCGACACUGGAACUGAGACACGGUCCAGACUCCUACGGGAGGCUGCAGUCGAGAAUCAUUGUCAAUGCACGAAAGUGUGAACAUGCGACGCCGCGUGGAGGAAGACGGCGUUUGGGUUGUAAACUCCUGUCAGCAGGGAGGAAGGACAGUAUCACUAAUAUUGAUGCUGUUUGACAGUACCUGCAGAGGAAGUCACGGCUAACUCUGUGCCAGCGGCCGCGGUAAUACAGAGGUGGCGAACGUUGUUCGGAUUUACUGGGCGUAAAGGGUCCGCAGGCGGCUCGGUGUGUCAGAUGUGAAAGCCCACGGCUUAACCGUGGAAUUGCAUUUGAAACUGCCGGGCUAGAGUACUGGAGGGGAGAAGGGAACACUUGGUGUAGCGGUGAAAUGCGUAGAUAUCAAGUGGAACACCGGAGGCGAAGGCGCUUCUCUGGACAGAUACUGACGCUCAUGGACGAAAGUUAGGGUAGCGAAAGGGAUUAGAUACCCCUGUAGUCCUAACCGUAAACGGUGUGCACUAGACGUGGGUGGAUUUACCCCCAUCCGUGUCUGAGCUAACGCAUUAAGUGCACCGCCUGGGGAGUACGGUCGCAAGAUUAAAACUCAAAGGAAUUGACGGG
This 946-nucleotide ribosomal RNA is filed under the name uncultured bacterium. RNAcentral describes it as "bacterial SSU rRNA". It matches the Rfam family "Bacterial small subunit ribosomal RNA", at positions 12 to 917 of the family's 1533-position model. The record is from RNAcentral.